GCCUGGGUGGUUCAGUCGGUUGAGUGACCGACUUUGGCUCAGGUCAUGAUCUCAUGGUUUGUGGGUUCGAGCCCCACGUCAGGCU
Molecule: non-coding RNA, 85 nt
Organism: Felis catus (domestic cat)
Lineage: Eukaryota; Metazoa; Chordata; Mammalia; Carnivora; Felidae
Source: Rfam